UACGGGGGGGGUAAGCGUUGUUCGGAAUUACUGGGCGUAAAGGGCUCGUAGGCGGCCAACUAAGUCAUACGUGAAAUCCCUCAGCUUAACUGGGGAACUGCGUGUGAUACUGGAUGGCUUGGAUUUGGGAGAGGGAUGCGGAAUUCCAGGUGUAGCGGUGAAAUGCGUAGAUAUCUGGAGGAACACCGGUGGCGAAGGCGGUAUCCUGGACCGAUACUGACGCUGAGGAGCGAAAGCCAGGGGAGCAAACGGG
Molecule: ribosomal RNA, 253 nt
Filed under: uncultured bacterium
Lineage: Bacteria
Description: partial 16S ribosomal RNA
Rfam family: Bacterial small subunit ribosomal RNA
Source: RNAcentral